CAGAGUAGGCAUCGCGGCGUCAAGUGCCGUCGGAACGGGGAGUUGUCCGGCGGACGAAAGCGGAAGCUGCGGUCACGAUGCCGCAUCCCGCUG
RNAcentral lists this non-coding RNA (93 nucleotides) under bovine gut metagenome. Its description in RNAcentral is "THF riboswitch". It matches the Rfam family "THF (Tetrahydrofolate) riboswitch aptamer". Rfam says of the family: THF riboswitch presents a pseudoknot that joins P1-P2 and the loop of P3 and two THF binding. RNAcentral also lists the same sequence under 1 other name. The record is from RNAcentral.